GUAGGUGGCAAGCGUUGUCCGGAAUUAUUGGGCGUAAAGCGCGCGCAGGCGGUUCUUUAAGUCUGAUGUGAAAGCCCACGGGCUCAACCGUGGAGGGUCAUUGGAAACUGGAGAACCUGAGUACAGAAGAGGAAAGCGGAAUUCCACGUGUAGCGGUGAAAUGCGUAGAGAUGUGGAGGAACACCAGUGGCGAAGGCGGCUUUCUGGUCUGUAACUGACGCUGAGGCGCGAAAGCGUGGGGAGCAAACAGGAUUAGAUACCCUGGUAGUCCACGCCGUAAACGAUGAGUGCUAAGUGUUAGGGGGUUUCCGCCCCUUAGUGCCGCAGCUAACGCAUUAAGCACUCCGCCUGGGGAGUACGGCCGCAAAGGCUG
RNAcentral lists this ribosomal RNA (373 nucleotides) under uncultured organism. Its description in RNAcentral is "partial 16S ribosomal RNA". It matches the Rfam family "Bacterial small subunit ribosomal RNA", at positions 527 to 896 of the family's 1533-position model. The record is from RNAcentral.